AGCUAGUUGGUGAGGUAACGGCUCACCAAGGCCACGAUGCAUAGCCGACCUGAGAGGGUGAUCGGCCACAYUGGGACUGAGACACGGCCCARACUCCUACGGGAGGCAGCAGUAGGGAAUCUUCGGCAAUGGACGAAAGUCUGACCGAGCAACGCCGCGUGAGUGAAGAAGGUUUUCGGAUCGUAAAACUCUGUUGUUAGAGAAGAACAAGGAYGWKAGUAACUGWWCRUCCCYUGACGGUAUCUAACCAGAAAGCCACGGCUAACUACGUGCCAGCAGCCGCGGUAAUACGUAGGUGGCAAGCGUUGUCCGGAUUUAUUGGGCGUAAAGCGAGCGCAGGCGGUUUCUUAAGUCUGAUGUGAAAGCCCCCGGCUCAACCGGGGAGGGUCAUUGGAAACUGGGAGACUUGAGUGCAGAAGAGGAGAGUGGAAUUCCAUGUGUAGCGGUGAAAUGCGUAGAUAUAUGGAGGA
This 470-nucleotide ribosomal RNA is filed under the name Enterococcus faecium. RNAcentral's name for it is "bacterial SSU rRNA". The record is from RNAcentral. Lineage: Bacteria; Bacillati; Bacillota; Bacilli; Lactobacillales; Enterococcaceae.